RNAcentral lists this long non-coding RNA (730 nucleotides) under Musa acuminata (dwarf banana). RNAcentral describes it as "long non-coding RNA (MACU_LNC000774)". Lineage: Eukaryota; Viridiplantae; Streptophyta; Magnoliopsida; Zingiberales; Musaceae. The record is from RNAcentral.
GUACAUGUUACACCGAUAUGCACCAAAGACUCGAAGGGGAAGAAGAAGGAGAAGGGGAAGGAAGAGCUGACAAUGGAGGAAGAGUAAGGAAGAAGAGGAGGUGGUGGAAGAAGAUGAAGAAGAGCAGGUGGUGGAGGAACAAGAGAAGGAUGAAGAGGAAGAAGAGGAGGUGGAGGAGCAUGAGGAAGAAAGAAAAAGAGGAAGGAGGAAGAAGAGGAGGUGGUGGAAGAAGAUGAAGAAGAGCAGGUGGUGGAGGAACAAGAGAAGGAUGAAGAGGAAGAAGAGGAGGUGGAGGAGCAUGAGGAAGAAAGAAAAAGAGGAAGGAGGAAGAAGAGGAGGUGGUGGAGAAACAGGAGGAAGAGGAAGAGGAAGAAGAAGAGGUAGUGGAGGAAGAGGGGAGCAGGAACUCGGGUAUCGACCUUGGGUACACCGGUAUCGACCUCGGGUAACUUGCCAGAGGUAGGCAGCAUGCCUUGAGUAGCUGGGACAUAGUUGUUGCAGACGGCAGCGAUGGCUCACAUGGCUGUACACAUAAGGGAAGAGGACGGCAGCGGUGCUCAUGUGGCUAUGCAUGUACAGAGAAGAGAACGCGAACCCUAAUCCUGGUUUUAAGUUUUUUUAUUUUCUUUUUUAGUAGAUUGGACCAAACCACCAAAAUGGGGGUGAUCCACUCUUUGGGCUCGGGCCAGUAUACACCGGUUGGUAUGAACCGAACUGGGCAAAAUUGCAC